CACCAUUUUGGUGCAAAAUGGUGCAACACUAUUCACUUUGCACCAUUUUGCACCAAAAUGGUG
This 63-nucleotide microRNA precursor is filed under the name Olea europaea subsp. europaea. Lineage: Eukaryota; Viridiplantae; Streptophyta; Magnoliopsida; Lamiales; Oleaceae. The record is from RNAcentral.